AGCAGCCGCGGUAAUUCCAGCUCCAAUAGCGUAUAUUAAAGUUGUUGCAGUUAAAAAGCUCGUAGUUGAAUUUCGGGAUCAAUAUGUCGGUCGUGCCUCGGUACGUACUGGCGUCAUUGGUUUCUCCCUUCUGAAGAACCUCGAUGUCAUUAAUUUGGUGUCUUGGGGAAUCAGGACUGUUACUUUGAAAAAAUUAGAGUGUUUAAAGCAGGCUCGCGCUUGAAUACAUUAGCAUGGAAUAAUGAAAUAGGACGUUUGAUUCUAUUUUGUUGGUUUCUAGGAUCGACGUAAUGAUUAAUAGGGAUAGUUGGGGGCAUUAGUAUUCAAUUGUCAGAGGUGAAAUUCUUGGAUUUAUUGAAGACUAACUACUGCGAAAGCAUUUGCCAAGGAUGUUUUCAUUAAUCAAGAACGAAAGUUAGGGGAUCGAAGACGGUCAGAUACCGUCGUAGUCUUAACCAUAAACUAUGCCGACUAGGGAUCGGAUGAUGUUGAUUUUUUAAUGACUCAUUCGGCGUACCCG
RNAcentral lists this ribosomal RNA (520 nucleotides) under uncultured Glomus. RNAcentral describes it as "SSU rRNA". It matches the Rfam family "Eukaryotic small subunit ribosomal RNA", at positions 569 to 1089 of the family's 1831-position model. Lineage: Eukaryota; Fungi; Glomeromycota; Glomeromycetes; Glomerales; Glomeraceae. The record is from RNAcentral.